This 253-nucleotide ribosomal RNA is filed under the name uncultured bacterium. RNAcentral describes it as "partial 16S ribosomal RNA". It matches the Rfam family "Bacterial small subunit ribosomal RNA", at positions 524 to 776 of the family's 1533-position model. The record is from RNAcentral.
UACGAGGGGUCCUAGCGUUGUUCGGAAUCAUUGGGCGUAAAGCGCAUGUAGGUGGCUAUCUAAGUCAGGUGUGAAAGCCCCGGGCUCAACCCGGGAAGUGCAUUUGAUACUGGAUAGCUUGAGUACUGGAGAGGAUAGCAGAAUUCCUGGUGUAGUGGUGAAAUACGUAGAUAUCAGGAGGAAUACCGGUGGCGAAGGCGGCUAUCUGGCCAUGUACUGACACUGAGAUGCGAAAGCGUGGGGAGCAAACAGG